RNAcentral lists this ribosomal RNA (322 nucleotides) under uncultured eukaryote. RNAcentral's name for it is "partial 18S ribosomal RNA". It matches the Rfam family "Eukaryotic small subunit ribosomal RNA", at positions 1470 to 1796 of the family's 1831-position model. The record is from RNAcentral.
CCCUUAGAUGUUCUGGGCCGCACGCGUGCUACACUGAGUGGAUCAGCGGGUCAGGUUGCGCGAAAGUGUUUCCUAAUCUUUAAAUCCGCUCGUGAUGGGGAUUGACGGUUGCAAUUUUCCGUCAUGAACGAGGAAUACCUUGUAAGCGCGGGUCAUCAUCCCGCGCUGAAUACGUCCCUGCCCUUUGUACACACCGCCCGUCGAUCCUACCGAUUGAGUGGUCCGGUGAGGCUUUGGGAUCUGAGCGGAAAGAGCGUUUCGCUGUUUCUGCCCGGAAAACUCAGUCGAACCUUAUCAUUUAGAGGAAGGAGAAGUCGUAACA